CACUCCAUCAAGGCUUUGAGCCAGAGUGAUGGAAGAUGGCGCUAUAGUAAUAAUAAUCCUGAGUCUAGUACCCUUGCUGCAGGUUUAGCACUUGAAGCCCUUGCUGGAGUGGUCUCAUUAUCAUCUUCUGAGAUUGAUCAAUCUCUGAUUGCUACAACUAAAAAUGAUAUAUUGAAGUUGUUUGACAGCAUUGAUAAGUAUGAUGAUGGGGCUUUUUACUUUGAUGAGAAACUGGUUGAUGCGCAUGAACAUCAAGGUCCUCUUUCAACUACAUCUUCUGUUGUUAGAGGAUUGACUGCAUUUGC
RNAcentral lists this unclassified non-coding RNA (305 nucleotides) under Hevea brasiliensis (rubber tree). Lineage: Eukaryota; Viridiplantae; Streptophyta; Magnoliopsida; Malpighiales; Euphorbiaceae. The record is from RNAcentral.